CGGACGGGUGAGUAACGCGUGAGAAUCUGGCUUCAGGUCUGGGACAACCACUGGAAACGGUGGCUAAUACCGGAUGUGCCGAGAGGUGAAAGGUUAACUGCCUGAAGAUGAGCUCGCGUCUGAUUAGCUAGUUGGAAGUGUAAUGGACUCCCAAGGCGACGAUCAGUAGCUGGUCUGAGAGGACGAUCAGCCACACUGGGACUGAGACACGGCCCAGACUCCUACGGGAGGCAGCAGUGGGGAAUUUUCCGCAAUGGGCGAAAGCCUGACGGAGCAAUACCGCGUGAGGGAGGAAGGCUCUUGGGUCGUAAACCUCUUUUCUCAGGGAAGAACAAAAUGACGGUACCUGAGGAAUAAGCAUCGGCUAACUCCGUGCCAGCAGCCGCGGUAAUACGGAGGAUGCAAGCGUUAUCCGGAAUGAUUGGGCGUAAAGCGUCCGCAGGUGGCUAUGUAAGUCUGCUGUUAAAGAGUCUAGCUCAACUAGAUAAGAGCAGUGGAAACUACAUAGCUAGAGUACGUUCGGGGCAGAGGGAAUUCCUGGUGUAGCGGUGAAAUGCGUAGAGAUCAGGAAGAACACCGGUGGCGAAGGCGCUCUGCUAGGCCGUAACUGACACUGAGGGACGAAAGCUAGGGGAGCGAAUGGGAUUAGAUACCCCAGUAGUC
RNAcentral lists this ribosomal RNA (663 nucleotides) under uncultured cyanobacterium. RNAcentral describes it as "bacterial SSU rRNA". It matches the Rfam family "Bacterial small subunit ribosomal RNA", at positions 99 to 795 of the family's 1533-position model. The record is from RNAcentral. Lineage: Bacteria; Bacillati; Cyanobacteriota.